CUAUCAUCCUACGGGAGGCAGCAGUGGGGAAUAUUGCACAAUGGGGGAAACCCUGAUGCAGCCAUGCCGCGUGUGUGAAGAAGGCCUUCGGGUUGUAAAGCACUUUCAGUAGGGAGGAAGGUAGUGUAGUUAACACCUGCACUAUUUGACGUUACCUACAGAAGAAGCACCGGCUAACUCCGUGCCAGCAGCCGCGGUAAUACGGAGGGUGCGAGCGUUAAUCGGAAUUACUGGGCGUAAAGCGCAUGCAGGCGGCCUGUUAAGUCAGAUGUGAAAGCCCGGGGCUUAACCUCGGAAUUGCAUUUGAAACUGGCAGGCUAGAGUCUUGUAGAGGGGGUAGAAUUUCAGGUGUAGCGGUGAAAAUGCGUAGAGAUCUGAAGGAAUACCGGUGGCGAAGGCGGCCCCCUGGACAGAUACUGACACUCAGAUGCGAAAGCGUGGGGAGCAAACAGGAUUAGAUACCCUGGUAG
RNAcentral lists this ribosomal RNA (470 nucleotides) under uncultured bacterium. RNAcentral's name for it is "bacterial SSU rRNA". It matches the Rfam family "Bacterial small subunit ribosomal RNA", at positions 331 to 793 of the family's 1533-position model. The record is from RNAcentral.